RNAcentral lists this ribosomal RNA (495 nucleotides) under uncultured bacterium. RNAcentral describes it as "partial 16S ribosomal RNA". It matches the Rfam family "Bacterial small subunit ribosomal RNA", at positions 29 to 506 of the family's 1533-position model. The record is from RNAcentral.
AUGAACGCUGGCGGCGUGCCUAAUACAUGCAAGUCGAGCGAACAGACGAGGAGCUUGCUCCUCUGACGUUAGCGGCGGACGGGUGAGUAACACGUGGAUAACCUACCUAUAAGACUGGGAUAACUUCGGGAAACCGGAGCUAAUACCGGAUAAUAUAUUGAACCGCAUGGUUCAAUAGUGAAAGACGGUUUUGCUGUCACUUAUAGAUGGAUCCGCGCCGCAUUAGCUAGUUGGUAAGGUAACGGCUUACCAAGGCGACGAUGCGUAGCCGACCUGAGAGGGUGAUCGGCCACACUGGAACUGAGACACGGUCCAGACUCCUACGGGAGGCAGCAGUAGGGAAUCUUCCGCAAUGGGCGAAAGCCUGACGGAGCAACGCCGCGUGAGUGAUGAAGGUCUUCGGAUCGUAAAACUCUGUUAUUAGGGAAGAACAAAUGUGUAAGUAACUAUGCACGUCUUGACGGUACCUAAUCAGAAAGUCACGGCUAACUACGU